UGGGUUGUAGCUCAGUGGUAGAGUACUUACCUAGCACGUGUGAGGCACUGGGUUCAAUCCUUAGCACCACAU
This is a non-coding RNA of Ictidomys tridecemlineatus (thirteen-lined ground squirrel), 72 nucleotides long. NCBI's taxonomy places the organism in Eukaryota, Metazoa, Chordata, Mammalia, Rodentia, Sciuridae. The record is from Rfam.